This 391-nucleotide transfer-messenger RNA is filed under the name marine eukaryotic metagenome. It matches the Rfam family "transfer-messenger RNA". From Rfam's summary of the family: Bacterial tmRNA, also known as 10Sa RNA or SsrA, is named for its dual tRNA and mRNA-like properties. The record is from RNAcentral.
GGGGUCGACUGGUUUUGACAGCGAGUUGUAUUGAACUGUAAGCACGUCGCGUAAUGACAUUGAAACGCGUUAAAGACUAGGUCAAAUUUUAAACGGCGAGAAUAACUACGCUUUAGCUGCAUAAUCUGAAUUAUAGUAAGAUUAGCCUUGUCCUACUAGGUAGGAAAGCUGAAUGUCUCUUGAAAGCCUUGGUUAACGGCGUUCUGUUAGAGACAUCGUAAAUGUUAACAUAGAAAAUGUAAAGCUUUGGUACAUUUUUGAAACUAAAAAGAUAAGUAAUACUGUGGGCCGUUUUUAGUCAGCAUAUUAUCGAAAACCAAUUAAAAACUAAACGUGAAGAAAGCACUUUGAUAGCUUGUUUGGACCCGAGUUCGAUUCUCGGCGACUCCAC